This 397-nucleotide unclassified non-coding RNA is filed under the name soil metagenome. RNAcentral's name for it is "partial contains 5.8S ribosomal RNA, internal transcribed spacer 2, and large subunit ribosomal RNA". The stretch from base 1 to 120 matches the Rfam family "5.8S ribosomal RNA", at positions 35 to 154 of the family's 154-position model. The record is from RNAcentral.
GAUGAAGAACGCAGCGAAAUGCGAUAAGUAAUGUGAAUUGCAGAGUUUAGUGAAUCAUCGAAUCUUUGAACGCACAUUGCGCCCCUCGGUAUUCCGACGGGCAUGCCUGUUCGAGCGUCGUUCGCACACCCUCAAGCAGAAUUCAUGUCGGCUUGGUCUUGGGCCUCCGUCCCCCACCCCCGCCCGCGAGGGCGGGGAGGGACGGGCCCCGAAGCGAGCGGCGGCCUCGGAUGCACCGCCGGAGCGUCCUCGUGAUAACUCGCUCCGGCGCCGUGCGUUCGCGGCCCGCCUGGACGACGAAACCCCCCGCCCGCAAACGGCGGGAACACCAACAAAGUUCCGACCUCGGAUCAGGCAGGGAUACCCGCUGAACUUAAGCAUAUCAAUAAGCGGAGGA